Molecule: ribosomal RNA, 600 nt
Filed under: Vreelandella subterranea
Lineage: Bacteria; Pseudomonadati; Pseudomonadota; Gammaproteobacteria; Oceanospirillales; Halomonadaceae
Description: bacterial SSU rRNA
Rfam family: Bacterial small subunit ribosomal RNA
Source: RNAcentral
AUGCGCAGGCUACACAUGCAAGUCGAGCGGUAACAGGUCCAGCUUGCUGGACGCUGACGAGCGGCGGACGGGUGAGUAACGCAUAGGAAUCUACCCGGUAGUGGGGGAUAACCUGGGGAAACCCAGGCUAAUACCGCAUACGUCCUACGGGAGAAAGGGGGCUUAGGCUCCCGCUAUUGGAUGAGCCUAUGCCGGAUUAGCUGGUUGGUGAGGUAAUGGCUCACCAAGGCGACGAUCCGUAGCUGGUCUGAGAGGAUGAUCAGCCACAUCGGGACUGAGACACGGCCCGAACUCCUACGGGAGGCAGCAGUGGGGAAUAUUGGACAAUGGGGGCAACCCUGAUCCAGCCAUGCCGCGUGUGUGAAGAAGGCCCUCGGGUUGUAAAGCACUUUCAGCGAGGAAGAACGCCUGUCGGUUAAUACCCGGCAGGAAAGACAUCACUCGCAGAAGAAGCACCGGCUAACUCCGUGCCAGCAGCCGCGGUAAUACGGAGGGUGCAAGCGUUAAUCGGAAUUACUGGGCGUAAAGCGCGCGUAGGUGGCUUGAUAAGCCGGUUGUGAAAGCCCCGGGCUCAACCUGGGAACGGCAUCCGGAACUAUG